Myotis davidii is the source of this 13785-nucleotide long non-coding RNA. RefSeq lists it as uncharacterized. The record is from RefSeq and is a predicted model, not a curated record. The transcript has 7 exons. Lineage: Eukaryota; Metazoa; Chordata; Mammalia; Chiroptera; Vespertilionidae.
UUCUCACUUUGCAUUAAAAUAAGGGGUUUUUGGAGCAGUUAAUGUGCAUAAAUGCCACUACUGUUCUUAUGUCACUAUGGAACCCAUACUCACUUUGAUUUUGAUUUAAAACAGAGUUCUUGGUAGUUAAUGUGCUUAAAUUUAAACGCCAGUACUGUGCUUAUGUCACUAUAGAACUCAUGUAUCCUCACUUUGCAUUAAAACAGAGGGUCUUCGGGCAGUUGAUAAACUUAAAUGCCAUUACUGUCUUUAUCUUACUUUUGCAACCCACCCAUUCUCGAUUUGAAUUAAAACAGAAGUUUCUUGGGCCAGUUAAUGUGCUUAAAUGCAACCACUGUGCUGUGUCACUAUAGGACCCAUCUAUCCUCACUUUGCAUUAAAGCAGAGGGUCUUUGGGGCAGUUGAUAAACUUAAAUGCAACUACUGUGCUUAUAUCACUCUAGAACCCAUAGCCUCACUUUGCAUUAAAACAGGGUCCUUGGGGCAGUUAAUGGGCUUAAAUGCACUACUGCCUUUUGUGUGGAACCCACUCAUCCUCACUUUGCAUUAAAACAAGGGAUUUUGGGAGCAGUUAUUGUGCAUAAAUGCCACUACUGUCCUUAUGUCACUAUGGAACCCAUACUCACUUUUACUUUGAUUUAAAACAGAGUUCUUGGUAGUUAAUGUGCUUAAAUUUAAACGCCAGUACUGUGCUUAUGUCACUAUAGAACUCGUAUAUCCUCACUUUGCAUUAAAGUAGAGGGUCAUUAUGCCACUGCUGUGCUUGUGUUAAGGUGGAACCCACGCAUGCUCACUUUGCAUUAAAACAGAGGUUCCUUGGUACAGUUAAUAUGCUUAAAUGCCACUACUGCCCUUAUCUUACUUUUGCAACCCACGCAUCCUCGAUUUGAAUUAAAACAGAAGUUUCUUGGGCCAGUUAAUGUGCUUAAAUGCAACCACUGUGCUGUGUCACUAUAGGACCCAUCUAUCCUCACUUUGCAUUAAAGCAGAGGGUCUUUGGGGCAGUUGAUAAACUUAAAUGCAACUACUGUGCUUAUAUCACUCUAGAACCCAUAGCCUCACUUUGCAUUAAAACAGGGUCCUUGGGGCAGUUAAUGUGUUUAAAUGCCACAGCUGUCCUUAGGUUAAUAUGGAACCCACCCAUCCUCACUCUGCAUUAAAACAGGGUCCUUGGGGCAGUUAAUGUGCUUAAAUGCCACUAUGGAACCCAUCUAUCCUCACUUUGUAUUAAAACUGAAGGACCUUGAAACUGUUACUCUGGUAACUUUUAUCCUCCCAUUCCUCUGCAUUGCCUGAGAGUAGAUAUGUUAUUGAAAUGUGCUUAUUUGGUUGCUGUGGCACCUUCUUUUUGUCUCUUUCCAUUUCCUCCCACUCCCUUUGCAGUAUAGCAGAGGGUACUUGGGCCUGUUAAUGGGCUUAAUUAUAGGAUUCCCAUGCACUCCUAGGCAGUUUACAUUUACUAGACAUAUAUUUGGUUCUGUGAAGUUGCCUAAUUGCAGCAGUGGUCCUUUUUGUCUAGGUUCCCAAUCCACCUCUUAGCCCUUUUACAAUACCUGGAUGGGCAUUUGGCACUGUCAGUGUGCUCAACUGAAGUUGUGGUCCCUUCUGUAAUUCCAGGAUCAUAUCCUGCCUUUUCCCUUUUCAUUACCUAGGAGGCUUUGGGGACUGUUAAAAGCCCCUGGGGCUACUGUCCCUUCCACUUGUCUAAGAUCCCAUCCCUCCCUCCCCCAUCUCACUUGGCAUUACAACAGUGACUGUUGUGCUUAAUGUGCUUAAAGGCAGCUAUAGUCCCUUUCCUUAGUCUGGGAUCCAUCCAGGCCCUUAAACAUCUUUUGCAUUACCAUAGAAAGUACUUGGGACUGUAAGUGUGGUUAAAUGCAAGUGUGGUCCCUUUUGUUAGUUUAGGAACAUGACUUUUCAGUUUCUUUAUAUCAUCUGGAAGUCAUUGUAGAUAAAGUUCUAAUUGUAGCUGUGGUCCCUUUUGUCAAUCUAAGAUUCCUUUUUCUCCUACUUCAUUUGCAUUACAACAUAGGGUUCUUGGAACUAUGAAGGGGCGUCUUGUCCUGUCACAUAUAUUAAAUUUUACAAAAGAGGAUCUGAACACCAAAACCCCUUCUUUUGCACUGUUAAUGCAAAUGAAGCAUUAACAUUAAAUGAAGCAUUUGCUUUUAUCCUUUCUCCUCUGCAGUAGAUAUAGGCCUCACUCAUUUUCCUUAUAUUCAGCAGUGGAUGCCCUUUACUAAGGACCUUUGUACUUAAUAUAGUUAAAAGUGAGUCAUAGUAGUUGACCACAAUUAUGUCUUUUAUGAAAGUGGUUGACCCUCUUCAUUUUACAAGAAGGUGUAUUAAUUACCUGUUACUUGCCUUAUGUUAGAAUAGCAUCCCAUUUCAUUGCCCCAUUUAUAUUACUGCAAGGGCUUCUGACUAGCCAAGAUUCACUCUCCUGGACUGUUAAUGUGCAUACUUACAUUUGCUCCUGUACCUGUACACCAGGUAAUGCCACUCCCCCAUCAUAUUUAUACUCUAGCAGGAGGUGCCUACUGCUAAAGACCUUACACAUUUAUGCAGUUAAUGUACACAACUUUUAUCUUGUACACACUCUCAGUAGUCCAUAACUGUGCCUUUUCAAUCUCUUGCACUUAUGGAAGCAGAGGUUACUGACCUUAAAGCCCUCUCUUGGGACUAUGGAUAUGUUUAAUUAGUUGUCUAUAAUCUUUUGAAUUAAGAUGGGUUCCUGACUCUUCACACCCUCUUUGCUUUACUGCGUGGGGUACUGUCCACUUAAGGCCCCUUUUCAAACUGUUGAUGUGUAUAAUAAUUACAUUAGAAUCCUUCCUCUGAUUUCAAUCUCUUUAAAAUACCAGAGGGAUUCUGACUCUGAAGGACCCAUUUCUUAGCUCGAUAAUAUGAAUGUGCUUGUCUGGGUUUCUGUGUACUAGACAAUGACACCUCCUCUCCCUAUCCCCUUUCAGCAUUGAGUGCCCUCUGUACAAGACUGUUAACAUGUGGACAGUCAAGGUGCGAAAUUAUAGUUGAUUACAGCCUUAUACCUGGGACAUUAAUGUGUGUAAUUUCACAUGGCUCAUCUCAUUUGAAUAAGAUCCUAUAUGCUCUCAGACCCUUAUUAUAGUAUAGCAAGGGUACUGAUCACAUGAAAAGGUAUCUUUUCAUGGCUUAUUGUGCAUAAUUGCAUCUGUACAUGUUCUUGUACACCAGAUAAGGACAACCCUCUCCUUAUUCCCUUAGCCUUUUAGCAAGGAGUGCCCACUACCUUAAGAUUUUUAUAUUGGUACAAGGUACAAGGUUUUAAUUAACUAUACCAUAUUCCUUGGACAUUAAUGUACAUAAUUUCAACUUGGUUCAUCCUACCCUAUUGCUCUCCGUUGACAGUAUACCAUAGUUGCUGAACCCUAAAUCCCCUUUACUUGGCCUAUUAAUGUGCGUAAUUGCAUUUGCCUGGGUUCUUGUACACUAGACUAGGACACUGACACACAACAUACUCCCAACCUCCUUUGCCUUCUAGUAGGUAACACCUACUAUUGAGACCUUUGCAUUUGGACAGUUAAUGUGCAGAAUUGCUGUUUUCCAUAUCCCUAUCACUUCUAGGACUAUUGUACCUCCUUUGCACUAUUGCAGGGGAUACUAUUUUUUUCUCCAAGGCCUCUUCUAGUGGACUGGUACUAUACAUAUUGAAAUUGUCUAUUGUCUUUAUUAGUAGACACCCCCCCUCCCCCGCCCCACCCUGCCAACUUCCCUUUGCAGUACAGCAGAGUGCUCAUCAACCAAAGCCCUCAUUGGACCUUUAAUAUCUGCAGUUACAUUUUCUCCUGUUCUCUGCACUAGAUAAGCCCAUCACCUACUUCCUUAGCAUUUGCAUCAGACAGUGCCCACUACUCAAAAGAUUUGUUCACUUGGAAGUUUCAUGUGCACAAAUGUAAUUUUGUAAGUAAAUCUUAUAUCAGAAUGACUGUACCCUCCUUGCUUUAGAGCAAGGAGAUGCUAUUCAACGGGCCCCUCCCUCUUUUCUACUUUAAUGUGCAUAAUUGCAAUUGUCCUUGCUUCUGUUCGAGUAGGAUUGCAUCUCCUCAUUCCCCCCUUUGUAUUAGGGGCAUAUUAACUAUGAAUGAGCUCUUCUAUUGAGAUUAUUAAUGUGCACAAUUAAUUGUAUUUGUCUGUGGGCCUAUGCAGUAGGAAAGGUGCUGUGCUCUAUGCCCUUACCAUUGCCUUUGAAUUACUGCUGACCUCAGCUCUCAAACAUUUAUCCAAAAUUCUGAUUAUUAUAUAGGACCCCAUAUUUUCUUUGUAUACAUCAUGUAUGACCCCUUCUGUUGGAAUAGGAUACCAUUCCAUUAUAACCCCUAUGCAUUACUGCGGGGGCUGCUGACCACACAAAACUGCAAAUGUUGAUAGACACAAUGGCAAUUAGCAAUGGGUUUGUCCUCCCUGAUCUUAUUAGGCAAGCACUCCCAGCCCCAAUUUCUCAUGGCAUCAUAAAGUGUAAACAUUGCAGUAUGCCCUUAACUUGUCCUUCAAAGAGCAACCGAUACUCCCACUCCUUUUGCAAUGCUCCAGGGCAUACAUUUCCAAGUAGUCAUGGUCCUACCUUUAUCUUCCCUCUUCCUACCUCUUGCCUGUCCUUGGACCCUUCUGUGGACCAUUAAUAAUCACAAUUUCAGUUGUCCAUGUAUCCAGCCAUUAGAUAAUAUUGUGAUCCUUCCUGCCCCUGCCCCUGCCCCUGCCCUGCCACACCCCGCCCCACCUCAUCCUGCCCUUUUGAAUUGCUGGUGGGGAAUGUUGAUUGGGCAAGGCCCUUUCACUUGGGCUUAAAUGUUAACAAUCCCAGAUGUCAUUGGUUUACCCAGUUUAUAUUGCUGUGGUGCUUCAGUUGCACUUUACGUGGUCCUGACCAUCUGACAUGGACCCUCCAUUUCCCUUUUUGCAUUGCUUUUCAGUAAUGCUGACUACCCAAAGGUCCUUCUGUGUUUUUACUCAACACAGUACUGAUUGUCCCAUUUUCCAACCCAUCAGCUCAAGACCUCCCUACCACUUUGAUGUUGUGUUUGUUUGUGCAGUGUUGUUUACCAAAAGCAGGCCUGAACUAGGUGGAUGGGCCUUCACUCCUUUUCUUGCAUUUGUUAAUAAUCUGAAUUCCAAUUAUUGUCCUAUUCUUGGGACAGGAGUUAUCUCUGCCCACCUCUGUUACUGCUUUACUGGGCAAAAUGCUCAAGGCAAGGCAAGCCCAAGGAGCUGGAUUGCCACCCUUUACAUUCUGGAUUUUUAACACACACACACACACACACACACACACACACACAUCAGUUGAAAGUUGUCUACCCAGGAAGGAAGGUUAACACUAUCUCUGCAUUUUUCCUUCCGAAGCAGGUUUCCUGGCUGAGAAUCUCUCCUCUUUGUAUAUUGCUAUUCUACAGAGUCAAUUGCCAGGAUACAACCAAAAGUUAUCGCUAUUUUUUAUUAAGAAAGACAUCUGGAUUGCAAGGUGGAAUUGAUAAACUGGGCAUUAAACUUUUGAAGUUAAAAACCCAUUUAUACCAUGUACUUGAUGACCAGUGUCUCUCAUUUUACUAAGGGUGGUGGGUCUGUGGAUAGACCACUGUGACUCUUGCUAUACUAAAGGAGUUCGAGAAUGGAACUCUUAAGACCAGUAUCUUUGAGCUCUACCACCAUUCUAAAACCAUGCCAUUUGGGUUUUACCACCAUUCUCUUUUAGAAAAACUACCUACAUUUCCUAAUCCUUAAGUUUCUUCAUCUGGAACACCAACCAGCCCCUACUUAUUUCAAGAAGAUAAUAACUGUAAAAGCAUGAAAUGAGACAACAUAUAUUGAGGUGCUUUUGAAAACCAAAGUUCACCUUAUUUGAUUAAUCUAUUACAUAAUGAGGACUUAAAAAUGAUGGGACCUGUUUCCCUGUUUUAUAUCAAAAGAAUAGUAAGCUAAGAUCUAGCCAUUCUUCCGGACAUAAACUUGUUUGACAGUGCGCUACCUGGUAAAAAUGGUUAGCCUAGCCUCUACUGUACAGGUUUUGGUGGCAGAGAAGUAUUUAAUAAAGAACUACUGAAGCAAAUAACUAGUCAUCACAACAGCAGUUCUUUGUAAUCACUGAAAAAGAAUACUAUUCCUCUAAGUAGGAUGUCAAAAGGUCAUCCCAGGUCAGGGUGCAGUUUAUACUUCUAGCUCCUUGGACAGCUGUAAGAAGAGUCUCUGGCUCUUUAGAAUUCUGGAUGAAUUCUGAGCCAGUUCUGAACCCCUACUUAGGAAUGAUGGGUCAAUUGUAGGUGGACUGAAGUCUGCACUAGAAAGCAUCCAAAGGACAUUCUGGAUAGGUGAGACCUGAGGACUACAAGAAACUCUAAGAAGCUCCAUAUUCAGUACAUCUUUUCUUUUGAGAAUCUGGACAAGCUCCAACUAAUUGAAGGAUGGCUUGCAGACCACCUGAAGAAAAAGACCUUCCUUAGAAGAAUAGGCUUGUUGCUUUGCAGUGUUAGUGACCUAUUCCCUUUGACGAUCCCUAGGUGGAGAUGGGGCAUGAGGAUCCUCCAGGGGAAUAGCUCACUACCACUGGGCAACAACCCUAGGCCAGGAGGUUCUACCAAGAUUUUUUCCUGGGCCCAGAUAGGAAGGUGAAGUCUCAAGACAUCCUCCACACAUCAGAGCUCCUGUUUGUUCCCUUUAUAUCUAUCAAAUCGUUCAUCCUUCUGAAAAGCAAUCCAGAGAGCAAGAAAUUUGAACACAACAAAGGAAGAUCAACAUGCCUGGCACUCUAGCAUUUUAGAAUAGCAGAAUAAAUUGUUGUGCCCCUCACUAUAUCUUGUCUCUUCUACUUCUAAAAGUCUGCCUUGCCUCAUCUCUUUCACUCAUAAGUGUGUAUUUCUUUGCUUAUCUAUUUUUUCCUUGAAUGUCUUUGGUCUUUGUUCUCUCAAGUUUCUUACCCAAUUCCAUGAUCCUCUUGCUUGUUUCUUCUCUGUGUAUCUUUGUCUCGUUUUCUUUUUUGUUCAUAAGAGUUAUUUGUGCCUUGUCUUAGAUGGCUCUCAUUUUUUCAUUUUGUUACUAAUUGUCUUUGUUUUCCUAGCUCUUGCUCUUCUUUCACUGUUCUUCCCAUUGUGUCUCUGAGUCUCAUGCUUUUUGCUCAUUCCUUGUCUUGUCCACCUCUUUUUUUUCCUCUUUGUGAACUCUUGAUUGUUCAUCAUUCUCUCCCAUUUUGUUAGUUUGACAUUUUACCUUUUUCUGAUUCUGGCCUCCUUUCUGCUGUUUCUACUCUUCGUCUUGGGUUUCUCUCUUCUACAUGUCCUUUCUGGCCUCUCUUGGGCCAUUUUCUUUCCUUUUUCCUGCUCUAUGUGCCUCAGUGUCUCUUUGUUCUUUGUGUCUUUCCAUUUCACCUUUCUUCUCUCUGUUCUCUUGUUCUUUUGCUUUUCCCCUCCACCCACCUUUGGGUACUUCAGCCUCUUCAUGAGUCUGUGUCUUCCCCUUUGAUUUCUUGCAAUACUCUCUCCAUGCAUAUUUUUUUGUAAAUGUGUGUGUGUACAUCCAUGUGUGCAUGUUUGUGACAAAGGGGUUUCCUAACCCCUUCCUAAUAGGUGCAGAGUAUCUACUAUCAAAAUAAGCAUUGCAGAGCUGUUCCUUAUGCCAGGCCAUCCUGUGAGAUAAAUCCAAAACUAGUAGAAGGCCCAAGGAUCCAAAGACCUAAGAUGUACAGAAGGUGGAAGGCCCAUAAUGGAUAUAAUUCCCAACACAGAAGACAGAAUUGAGACCUGUGGACUAAAGUAUAAAACCUGUGUCCCAAGAUAUUUGGAAACCUCAGCCUUGAGACCAUCAGAAGCCCUAGAGCCAUUAUGUACAUAAAGAAGGUGGCCUUUGUCGGAUAACUGAGUUGGAUGCAAGUCUUGUGUCUUGAGUUAGACAAAAGGCUGAAAACCCAGGAUGAAAGAACCAAGCCUAUGAGUGGGGAUACAUAGAAAGCCUGAGACCUGAGUCACAAGACCUGAGAUAAAAAAAACUUAGCUUGAAGACUUAAGACCCAAGGAUAUGAGGUGUCACACACACAUAAAGACCCUGGAGUCAAGCAUCUCUAGGUGGACUUGAAAGACCAAGAGAGACCAAUAUCUUAAGACUAAAUUAAGCUGGAGUUCCAUGACCCUAAAUCUAGGAAAGCCGGAAACCCCAAGACCAGAGGAAGUCCCAAUAUGAGGACCCUAAACCUCUAUUCUGCUAUCCUUCCUACCCUUGGAUAUUUUCAGUUCUUCCUUUCCAGUUUUUAUAUCUCUAUUUAAGCCCACUAAUUUUGUGAUAUCCUUUUUGAUGUUGUUAUUAUCUUGAGAUUGGCAAUAUUAUGCCUGGGCCAGUGUAAGGUUCUUUUUAUUAUAGUUUUGAGUCAUUUAUUAAGUUUUAGGUAUUUUUUUAAACUUUACUUUUUUUUACCUCCACUCGUUGGAGAGAGACAUAUCAGUGAAAUUGUAUUUCAGUCCUCUCUUUUCCUCAGAAGCUCUAGGCUGAUGAGAAGAGGAAAGUGUCAGGCUAUGUAGAGAAAAUGUGAAGAGAUGCCUCAGGCCAAUGUGAACAUUUAGAUAGAAAAUACACAGAUGUGCCAGCCUGGUGAGAAGGAUCAGCCAGUAACAUGAUUUCUUUGAGCUUGAGUGAACAGGAUUCCUGGGGUUUGGGAUUCCUAGUGAUGGUUAGAAAAAAGAAUGAGUAGUCCUGGAACAGAGUGAUGUCCCAAGGAGACAGCCUGAACUCCCUGCUCAUAGUAGUGGCCUAAUAAUUUGGUAGACUACACCAACCCUGCCCUAGGCUUUAAUAUCAACCUCUGGGCUUAAAGAUGACAGAAUUUGGAAGUAAUUAGGUUUAAAUCUUUCCUUUUUCUCCCCCUUAUCACGAGGAAAGAUAAUUUAAAUAACUGAGAUAUAUAUGAAAAUAAGGUGUUUUCAUUAAUAGUGUAUUGCCAGCUAUGCACAGCUAAUAUGUAUUAUAAGUACACUGUCAGUUUUGAAGCAUUUUGUACAUCAGGGAAUCACACUCUUAAAGGGGAAAAGGUAAAUAUUUUAGUCUUUGCAGGCCUAUGGUCUCUACAUUUCACUUCCCCCUACCGCCAGUCCUUUAAAAAGGAAAACUAUUCUUAUCAUGUUAACCAAGUAGAUUUGGUCUGUGGGCCAUAGUUACCCCUGAUGUAAAUGCUGAAUAAUAUUAAUUUCCUUGUGUGAGCCUGUCCCUGUUCUAGGCACUAAGGAUUCAAUGAUUAUCAUCACAUCCAGGUGACCUAAAUAAAAAUGUGUGAAUAUGCUUUUAAACUAUGAAAGUGCUUAAAGAUGUAUUAAGUUUCAGACCUGAUAAAUAUUGAUUACAUAUCAACAGUAUGUAAUACUAUGUAGAUAUUAGGAAUUAAGUGAUUAAUCAAUGAAAAUUUCAUAUAUUUGUAACCGUGUUGCUGCUGCUUUGGUGAUUUUGAGUAAAUACAGUAUUCCAAGUAGCAGAAAAGAAAACACGUAGAAACUGCUUUUAAACUGUAAAAUAUACAGCAAACACAAGGGAUUAAGCUAUUUUGAUGACUUACAAUGGGCCAGAUAACUUGCUAAACACUACAGAAACAAUCUCAAUAUAGAAUUAAAAUUUUCAGAUAAGAAAUGCAUUUUAAAGUGGUUUGUAAACUAAAGCACUAAAUAUCAAUGAGCUAAAUGUUAUGAAUGAAUGAAUGAAUGAAUGAAUGAAUAUUAACUGCCUUUUAUGUGACAACUAUUGUUUUGGGUUCUGUGAAAUCUAAGGCAAAACUCCCAAGUAAUAAGUGGGAGGUUUAUAUUGUGAAUUAUUUAUAUGUAAGGAAAUUAGAUAAUGCUUAUUUUAAUCAGUCAAGACUUUACUGAUAAUAUCAAGUUAUUAUUACCAGUAUAUUUUCCAAGAUAACAGGAAAAUGUAAUGAAUGAGACUGAGCUUUCUAAACUAUAAAGUGCUAUAUAAAUAUGACAUUAGGUAUUUUCUCUGUGAAUAAAAUUUUUCGUGAGAUAAACAUUCUUUAUAAAAUUCACCCACUAUGAGAGUGGUAGUAAAAUAGUUAUGCAAACUUGAGGGUUUGAAUACUUGUUAAAUGAAAGCAUAUCAGUUGUCUACUAUGUGAAAUCACUGUUACAGGCACUAAAGAGAUACACACAUUUAUAAUUUUAUUGUGCCUACAAUUGAGAAUAAGGCAAUACAUAUGUUAGUAUUUUGUGAACUCUAAAGCACCAUAUAAAUGUCACUAUUAAUUUUUCUCACUUGGUGCAAAGUACUAUAAAAAGUUCGAAAUAUUUAAAGUAUUAACUAUUGAACAAUCUGAAUAUAAUAUGUAAAAGAUUAAAUUUAUGAUGAAUGCAAGACUGGGUAAUAAUUGUCUACUAUGCCAGUCUUUUUGCUAGGCACCAAGGACCUGAAGAUAAAACAUCUUUAUUGUGUCCUUGAUAGCUGAACAUAAUGUCUGAAGUCAAUUUAUAAGUCUUGAACUGCCAUACAUAUGUAAGCAAUAUCCGUUUUAUGAAUAUUGAUUUUUUACUCUCAUCCUCAGAGAUAACAACUAGUGAUGCAAAAAUUCAUCACCCUUAUUAUUGAAUCUGUAACAGAGGUCUAUGUGUAAAUUUAGAAAACCUAGUGUUCUAUAUAGAUAUAAGGAAUUAACUGUUGGCUUAAUGAAUGAUGAAUGAUUACUUUUUAUGAGGCUUAAAACUACAUAUGCCCUAGUAUAUAAAUACGAUUUUAUCCUCAUGGGAUGCUUAUAGAAGGAAAUAAUGUAAUAGGUGUGAGCUCCAGACUAAAAAGUACUUAACUACUGCUAGGCUUAUUUAAUGAUAAAAACAUUGAGAAUAUAGAAUUGUACAAAGCAGUACAUGGAAAGAUACAAUCCAGACCAAAAAGCUCCUUGCUCCCUCGCCUAAUUAAAGAGAUGGAAUUUUUUUUUUUUUUUUUUAAAGCAAGCUGCUCUUGUUCUCCAUCAGUUUUUUAAAUGCUGAAUGCUAAAGAUGGAGGUGAAUUAGCUCCACCUUGGCCUGGCUUAAAGAUAUUUAAGAAGUAAAAAUAAAUGGCUCAGCAGUGCUUUUAGAUUUCAUUUGAUAAGCACAGCAUAUUUUGUGUGCAAUAAAUCAUUCUAGGUCCUGAGCAUAAGAGCAGUGAAAUGGGCCUAGUCUAAAGGUCUUUAGAUUGAACACAGAUCAUAGCUGCAGAUAUGAAAAUAUCUUUGAUUUUUUAGUAAAUAUUUGAGUGCCUAUUUUCUGGGAAGUAUUAUGCUCAUUUAAUGAGUCGAGUAGGUAUGGCUCAGAAAUCCCAUUGGCUCGCCUUGGAGAUUAAAGGAAAAAAAAGUCAUGGUCCUUUUAAUAUAUUUUCCCUAGUUCUGGAUAGUCUCAACUUCACAUGCUCAGUGACCUAAAUUGAAGCCAGAAGACUGUUAAAAGGGCUCAGGAUUUGUCCUUUAAUUCAUUAAUUUAAGUUUCUGCUUCUAUUAUAGUUUAAGAUAAGAAUUAAGAUGAAACAACUGGUUUUAAAAAUAUUUGCUCAUUGGUCUAGCCUAGAAUCAGGAAGCCACUUGAGCAAUAAAAAUGAUUUUAUCUAUAAACAUUUAUUCACUCUGAAUAAAGUGCUGAGAGAAUUAAGAGAUUCCAAAGACCAAACUGCACUUUCAUGUCCUCUAGCUUAUGGUUGAAACACCCAGAAUAAAUUUUAUCACUGCAGGUCUUUCAUUGAGCAGCUGUGAUAUUAAGACACUGAGAAGGAAUGAUUAAAUAGAUCACCUUCUCUUUGACAUGUUUUGUAGAAUGGGAAUGAGAGCUUCCUACUUAUUCAUUCAUACAAACAUUGAAGAUGAUGCUAAAAGAAAUAGAUCUGGUAGAAAUGGCAUUUUAUCUUGGAGAUGCAAUAAAAAACAAGGAAUGUGAUAAAACAUUAAGCAGAAGUGUCUAUUUGCAAUGUGCUAAUUUCUAAACAAAACAAAAAGAUCUUAACUAAAAGACACUUGUUUUUAACUAGCUUGGAGACUAGAAUAUAAAAAGUUACUGUUCAUUCACUUUUUUUCAUUUAUUCAUUCAUUCUACAAGUAUAUUUGAGUGCCUAUUUUAUAUAAAGUACUUGUUAGGUUCUCACUUGGCCCAAGAGACAUGAAAAAUGUAUGCUUUCCCAGAGAAAUUUUAAAAACUUUGCUUUUGGGGUGUUUUCGUUAGGGGUUGACUUAGCCCCUGAGUAACAUUGUGUGGUUUAAUUCCUACUCCAUAUUUCUUCUAUCACUCUGGCCACUACGAUAAGCAGGGUUUUCCACUGAGAUAGCUCCUUAAGUUCCAGGAAUCCUCUUUAUAAUAGACACUUCCUUUUCCUAGCUCAUGAAAAAUGAUUGGCUACUGUUGAAUAGAAGAAGGGAUGACAACUAAUUCCCAAACCACAGUGUCAAUCAUACCAGCCUUGGGGAGCCAUGCAUACUCAAGCCACAAUUGGUUUUGAAACAUUUAACAAUUUUGUCUAUUUUCAAUUCUUUAUCCUUUACAUUCUGACAAAUAUACACUGCCUAACUAGAUCGGAGGAACAAUCCCCAGAUAGUACAUAGCAAGACUGAAGAUGGAGACAUGAUUUCUCUUUAACAACAGAUUUUGACUUAAACUUUAGAAAUCGCCUCUCAGUAUCAAAACUGGGUCACGAAAGGACUUAUAUAUGGUAGAAUAUGGUCAGUGAAUGAAAGUGGCUUAACAAUUUAUCAUGCUUAAAUUUUAAGAGUAAUAAAAAUGAGAAAUAAUUGGCAAAAAUUUGAGGGAAAAAUACAAUAAAUAAAUAAAUAAAUAACCCAAACCUCUAAAUCCAGGCCCCACUCGGCUUUGACCUUUUCUAUUUUUAAAUCACUCACAGAGGGUGGGAUAGGAGGAAGAGUGAAAGAAAAGGUCAAACCUGUUUCUAAGGGCAGCCUGCCUUUUUUUGGAUUGGUCUUAUGAACUCCGGGUCUAACUUGAGGAUUGCUUUGUCCUCAUUCAUUUCUUUGGCUGAAUGAUGAUAUUAUCAAUUAAGCCUUGGGUUACAUAACUAUGUGAUUUAUCAAUUAAAUCAAUUUAGCCUCCAUCAUAAAGUAGUGUUAAAUCUAAAGGCAAAUUUCACUGUAAAGGAAGAGGACUUCAUAGUUCACUGUAAUUUAUAAUACUUUAAAAGCAUAUAUACUUGAGUUUACAUGGCAAGCCAUUUAUAACAAGCAUAAAUGAAGAAGAAAAUGUGGAGGUAGCACAUUUGAGAAUUUGGGAGGAUUUUUCUGAUUUUUGCUUUGUACAUUUUAAUUUUGACAUCAGAUACAUCUGUAAUGUUUGACUUUUAAUAUGUGGUAUCAGCUGGACUCAGUAACACUCUUUUCUCCAGUUGGGGGUGGAUUUUCAUAUUUGGAAAGUGCAAAGAAGAAAGUAGCUACAAGCCUGCCUUUUGUGGUUUCUGACAUCCUGAGACUACCACUACUGAUAAAACAAGAAUAAGAGAACAUGCUACCAUCAUCUGUUUUUUGUGGCAUAAAUAAAGCAGUAAACAAAUCCAUUUUUAUAAGAAUGUACUUAUCUCCACCCUUCAACCUCAAAGGGAAUAUAUGCCAAAAUGCUCCAUUAAAUGAAAGAAAUUCUUUGACUUGUGUACAGAUGUGAAAUGCAGAAUCUCCGUCUUGGGUGGUUUGAAGAUUGACAAAUCUUGCUCAGCAUAGGUGACAUCAAAAAGCAAUCUUAAAGCCAUCAUAUAACAACUGAGAUAAAUUGGGGAGUGUUUUUUCUAAUGUCAAAUAAAAGCUAAUGUUUUGAAAACUUUGUA